Pelobates cultripes (western spadefoot toad) is the source of this 212-nucleotide non-coding RNA. Lineage: Eukaryota; Metazoa; Chordata; Amphibia; Anura; Pelobatidae. The record is from the annotation of a GenBank genome assembly.
CCUCAAUAUCAGUAUCCGAGACCUAGCUAUAGUGACAAAAAACUAUUUCAAACCUAUUUCAAACCUGUAGAUGCCAUCAGCUAUAUAGACAAAACCCUCUUUUACCAUAAAUCAUGUCUCACGAAUGCCCCAAGGGGACAAUUCCUCCAAAUCCGACAAAAUUGCACAGAGCAUUCAGAUUAUGUAGAACAGGCAAAUUAUUUAAAAAGAGA